RNAcentral lists this long non-coding RNA (907 nucleotides) under Chinchilla lanigera (long-tailed chinchilla). RNAcentral's name for it is "lncRNA (ENSCLAG00000023833.1)". The record is from RNAcentral. Lineage: Eukaryota; Metazoa; Chordata; Mammalia; Rodentia; Chinchillidae.
UCACAAGCCCUUUCAUCUAUGGAGUUUCCUCUAGAUGGUGGGAAGAAGAGAAGCAAUAAUGUAACUCGCUCCCAUGCAUUUGCUGAUUACUUAUAAUCCUGUGGACAAGCUGCUGAGCAAUGGGAAUAAAGCAUAACCUGACUUACACGGGACUCUUCGGCAGAGCCUUCUCAUCUAUUUAUUAAACACACGCUCGAUGUGUACUGAGUGCCAGCGACUUUCACCACCCCACCUGCCCCGGAUUCAUCCUUGACUCUAGCAGUUCUGUCACCAAGUCCUGCCAAUUUCGCCUCCUUACUGCUGCCAUCAUGGCUCACCCUCAACUCAUCUUCCACCUGGUGCUGGAGGGAUCUUCUGCAAUACAAAUCAGUUGAAAGAACUUCAGAGGGUUCUCCUGGACAUAGGAGGGAGCCUGCUGUUGUUGUCUUAUUUUUGGUGGUGUGUGGUGAAUCCCAGGAAGCCGUGAAACCUUCAAACUUCUUUGCCACUUGGAGACCAAGUGCCGCAUAUUAAAAGAUAAGGCUUUGGAGAUUUUUCAAAAGAAAAGAAAUGGACAUGAAGCAUAGAAGCAAUUACUGAAGGCAAUCAUUUCCCCAGAUGUGCACCUCGGGCGUCACUCCCUGCAGCAACUGCAUUGCUAGGGCAGUGAUUAAGGGGUGGUCCCAUCUGCUGCGAAGGACGUCUGUCAUGAACUUUUAGGAGAGGCUGCGGUUCAAAAAGAAGCACGUUUCUCUUUCAGUCAGCACCAUAAUUAAAUGAAUCGAUGCUCUCUUUGCUUACUGCGGCUACUCAGAUCCUUUAAGGCCCUCAAGUAUGUUGUGAGUUUUCUCAAAAUGGAUAGAGUGUGACAUUCUUAACACUCAGGGUGCACGUUUGCCAUAGUUUUAAUUGCACUGAAAGAUUUUAG